AGAUUUUACACACAAAGUGUUACCGUAACUUCUUACUACACAGCAGCGCCACCAUUGGCAAUAUGUCAGUUGCAUACAAAAAUUCACAGCAUCGCACGUCAUCUUGUUGCGCUCACCAAUCUUAUUUAAUUUUAUAACUAUUCUUUAUACUUGCAUUUGAAUUAUUAAAUUAGUUAAUAUUAAUCAGUGCAUUUAUUCAUUUCAAACAGUCAAACACAGUGCAUUCAUUCAUUCAAUCUUUCAACAUUCACGCAUUCAGACUUCAAUCGCACCUCAUCGAUCAACCAUACACACAAGGAGAAAUCUGGUCACUUCGCUUUUCCAUACAUUUCAGUUUUUUCAUAUGGAUUUUUAGGUUAAAAUUCUGCGUAAAUAUAAGAUGACCUAAUAUUUCAUACAAAUCAACAAAAGGUAAAUCAUCACAACACAAAGUCUUAAAUUCCCGGAAAAGUUUUAACUUCAAAUAAAGAGUUGAAAUACUUACAA
Lutzomyia longipalpis is the source of this 486-nucleotide long non-coding RNA. RefSeq lists it as uncharacterized. The record is from RefSeq and is a predicted model, not a curated record. Lineage: Eukaryota; Metazoa; Arthropoda; Insecta; Diptera; Psychodidae. The transcript is spliced from 2 exons.